RNAcentral lists this ribosomal RNA (601 nucleotides) under uncultured archaeon. RNAcentral's name for it is "bacterial SSU rRNA". It matches the Rfam family "Archaeal small subunit ribosomal RNA", at positions 319 to 923 of the family's 1478-position model. The record is from RNAcentral.
UCCCUAUGGGGUGCAGCAGUCGCGAAAACUUUGCAAUACACGAAAGUGUGACAAGGCUAUCCCGAGUGCCAUCCGCUGAGGAAGGCUUUUACCCAGUAUAAAUAGCUGGGAGAAUAAGGAGAGGGCAAGUCUGGUGUCAGCCGCCGCGGUAAUACCAGCUCUCCGAGUAGUGUGGAUGUUUAUUGGGCCUAAAGCAUCCGUAGCUUGCUAUACAAGUCCCCUGUUAAAUCCACCGAUUUAAUCGGUGGAUUGCGGGGGAUACUGUUUGGCUAGGGGACGGGAGAGGCCGACGGUAUUUCCGGGGUAGGGGUGAAAUCCUAUAAUCCCGGGAGGGCCACCAGUGGCGAAGGCUGUCGGCUAGAACGCGCCCGACGGUGAGGGAUGAAAGCUGGGGGAGCGAACCGGAUUAGAUACCCGGGUAGUCCCAGCUGUAAACGAUGCAGGCUAGGUGUUUGGGCGGCCACGAGCCGCCCUAGUGCCGCAGGGAAGCUGUUAAGCCUGCCGCCUGGGGAGUACGGCCGCAAGGCUGAAACUUAAAGGAAUUGGCGGGGGAGCACCACAAGGGGUGAAGCUUGCGGUUUAAUUGGAUUCAACGCCGGAA